Tympanuchus pallidicinctus (lesser prairie-chicken) is the source of this 6608-nucleotide long non-coding RNA. RefSeq lists it as uncharacterized. The record is from RefSeq and is a predicted model, not a curated record. Lineage: Eukaryota; Metazoa; Chordata; Aves; Galliformes; Phasianidae. The transcript is spliced from 3 exons.
GUAUCUACCUAAGCCGCUUGUGACAGAGAGAAUGCCUGUGAUAUACACAGAUUGUGCUAUGGCCGUUCAGGAAAUGUAGCUUUCUCUAAAUCGUUUUAGGUCCUAGUAGUGUGAAAAUGUGUGAGUAAUCUUUACUUCUGCUCCACGGGCACACUGAUGAACAUGGCAGCUCCCAGCUGGGUGUCAUUGUGCUCUGAAAGCUGUUCUUUCAACUUGUUCUGAAUGUUUUUUUUUCUUUUUUCUUUUUUUUUUCUUUAGUCUCAAAGGUAACGAGAAAGCCUAGGUCAGGUUUGACAGAUGAGCGCUGGUGGAUUGCUGCAAGGAGACUUCUGAGAUUCUUGGUGUACUACUUAAAAUUAUUUUCUGUCCUACAGCCAGGCUUGUGUGCCUAGUCAACAACUGUUGUAUUAUCAACAUUGUUUAGGAGCAGAAGGUCCCAGGUCUCUUGCCCUGAUAGCACCACCAGAGGUGUGUCCUUCCUCAGGUGGGUUUCAGUGGUUAGUUUAUAGCUUGUCAUAAAAAAUUAGAGCCUUGGUUUGUCUGUAGCAGUAAGGCAGGCCAAGCUUAUCUGCAAUCUGCCAUUUUAUGUGCUUUAGCCUUCAAAAUAUGCUGAGCUAGCUUGAGACAGGGAAAACUAGUAUGGGUGUCAUGCUAUGCUGUUUGAGAAUGAAGCUGCUCCUCAGGCAGACUUGGGAGGAUCACAAGUAUUGUAGUUAGAAAUUUGCAGUGGGAUAAGCAGAAGGAUGUGUGUCAUAAUUGCAUUUUCAAAGACAGAAGUGGAGACUAGAAAUGUCUCCUUUACCCUGGAAAAGAAACCAGCCCUUUCCCAGGGGAAGCUAAUAAAAUUCUGUUGAUCACCUCAUCCAAAGAGAAAUGUGGAACAUUUUAUUUCAGCUUAGCUUUAUCCCAGCCACGAAAAAGGAAAACGAAAGAACAGAAAAUAGAUGGAACAAGAGCAUGCUGAAUAAAAAUGUUUCCCAUGAUGCUGGAGCAAUGUGGAAAGAAACACAAUGAUUUAAACAGAAGCAUGUCCAAUUAUGGCCAAAUGUAUAGAGCAGAAGAAAUGGCAUUAUACUUGUAAUGUGCAUGCUUUUCAGCUGAAAAGAAAAUGGAUGAGGACAGGUUCACAUGUUACAAUGUACAUUUAGCUGCCCUAAAUGAAUACAGAGUAAACUCUGUAGAUUGAAUUUGAAUGCCAAACCUUCCACGUGAACAAGAGAGAAUCUUGCCUUCCUCAUGCAAGGAGGCAGCAGUAUUAGAGCAACCUCUAGGAUAUGUCCCAUGUUGAUAGGACCCUUAUGUGGUGGUGAAUUGUUUUCACAUAGGUUUCCUAGGUGAGUCCUGAGAUAUGCCAAUUAAAAUGUCUAUGUUUUAGAAGAUAGUGAGAGAAGGAACCAAUAGUUUUGGGUUGCUAGCACCUUUACAGCAAUUAGUAUUAAAAGAAACAAUACUCAGAUGAAGGGCAUGCAAAACUGCUUGAAAAUCUAUGGUGAAUCACUCUGUACUGCUUGAGUGGUACUGGAAGAGGAAACAGAGGGUUGUAGCCUUGCUGUCAAGAUCACUUCAGGAUGCUGGAUUUUGUUUGCCGGAAGGAAGCUUGCUAGGUAACUUGGUGGCAUAAGUAAACAAGGUUUCCACUCAGGGAAUCAUUUCUGUGGCUGUGCAGUUAAGUCAUCUUUGUGCGAUGGGAUUAUUUGUAGCUCUUGUGGUCCAUGAUGUCCUACGCUGCCUCCACUUCUGCUUGUGAUCUCAUCAGACCAGAGCCAUGGCCUCUUCCUUCUGGGUGCCAACCAUUGCAGGCCGGUGCUUGUCACUGCUAUGCUUGUCAGGGCCAGGCUAAGUUGGGUGAUGUAGCCCCCAACAGCUCAUGGCUCCUGCUGCAUUCAGGAAAAAGGCUAACAGGAUAUUCAGAUGGAAAGCAUGUUCUGGUGCUGCUGGUGCAUCCCAUGGUGAUUUCUAUGGGCUUGUUUUGGUAGCACAUAUGGGCAGGGCAAUGGAUUUGGCCACCUUGACUCUUUCAGUUCUUAGCCUUGGGAAAGCACUGCCUAUCCUUAGCACCAAUGCCUGCACUGUGCAGUGUUGUUUGCACUCAUUGCUGCCAGAGGUUAUGAAUUCAAUUACAAGGAGAAAUGUUGUACUAUGAGCUGUUCAUUAUUCUCUUUAAUUAUGACUGGUAUCAAAGGCAAAGGUCUCUAUAGUCUGUUGCCUCCUUUCUUUCAAGUCAGCGUUCUGCUAAUUGUCAUGAUAUAAUCAAGGAAGAAAUGUUGUUAGUGGUUUGUUGCUUAUUUACUCGUUCCUUAUAUUACUUUAAAGAUUUAAUCAUUAUCUCACCUUGAUUUAAAACAAAAAUACUCCUCUGACCCUGGUGUGAUAUGGCACCUCUAAAUCAUAGAAUUGCAGGGGUUGGAAGGGACCUCUAGAGAACAUCUAGUCCUGCCAUUUGCUAAAGCAAUUUCACAACAAUAGUUGCUCAGGAAAAUGUCUAAAGGAAAGUGGGUCUGGAAUAUCUCCAGAAAAGGAGACUUCACAACCUUUCUGAGCAGCCUGUUCCAGUGCUCUGUCACCCUCAAAGUAAAUAAGUUUUUCCUCAUUUUUGUAUGGAAUUUUCUAUGUUUCAGUUUGUCUCUUGUUCUGUGGCUGGGCACCUCUGAAAAGACCAUUGCCAUUUUGGACCCUGCUCCCUCAACUCCUUCACUUUAAAGCCCACCUCAGAAGGUUGGCUGGCCUGCUGCCAAAGAUUGUCCUGUCUCUUCUAGACAGGUGAAUCUCAUCCCUACCUAAUGUUAUAAUCUUCAUAGAAAGUCCCAUUGUCAUAAAAAAACAAACUCAAAAUCCAUAUAAUUUUCUAAGUACAAAGGCAUGUUUUUUGUCAGACAUUUUCUCUUGCUUUUCUAGUAAGUCAGCCUAAUCUCAGGUGUAACUCACAGGACAUUUUAGUAAAAGUUUCUUUUUGUAGGAAUACAUACUAAUGUAUUUUUACUUUUUAGUUGUUGUUGUUUUUUGUAAGACUCAAGGUUAUACGUUGUCCUACUUAUUGUGUGCUGAAAUAUUGUACUACCACUGUUCAGUAUUAUAAGAGACAGGUAUGAGAUAUUGUGUGUUGAAUGUUAUUUUUAAUUUCAGAUUUGAAUUGUUUGCUAAAUGGUAAACUUGAUGGUGAAUAAUGGAAAGAAAUCUUUAGUGGUUGUAAAAAAUAUCUGUAGACACUCUCAGUACCCAAAAUGAUUUAAUUACAGUUACCAUUAGGAAUAGGAUAUUUGUUUUAGAUUACAGUAAGAAUUAAAUGGCAAUCUCUAAUGCUUCUGCUGGUACAAUGUCAGCAGAAAAUACUGAGCACCAUGCAAAGGAAAAUCCUCGUGUGUGGUUUUGUUUCUUACUCAUUUAAACAGUACAAUAACUUCCAGGGAAAAAUAAGAAAAACAUGCAACUAUCUGGCAAUGUUCUGGGGAGAUAUUUCUCAUUCUCUCUUCUAGAUGGAGAUUAAAAUAAUCCAUAACAACAACAAAAAAAAGUGUAUUUCAGUCUUUCUCCUCCCUUUACUCCCCUGCUCAAUUUUCUCUUUCCUGAGCAGAAAGUUACAGGUUCUGUUUUCACAACACUUCGUAAAGACUACUUGAAAUAUAAGGCACUUUUAUUUUUCUUACUACCAUUGAACAUGAGGUGAGUGUGUUGUCUUAAUCAGUUUCUGACUGGACAUGCGCACACAGUGUUUUUAAAAAUAAUUCAUGGCUUAUACCAACCAUGACAGUCUGCAUCACGGAGAUAUAGACUGAGCCAAGUCUGUCUCCAGAGUUGAGUCCUUUAGUUUUAUGUUUUUAUGGGCUGUUGAAGCAGCCUGAAAAACCUCUGUUCCUGCACACAAGACUUAACCAUGUCCUCACUGCCAGGACAAGAGCAGAAUUCUGCUGUGGCUUACUCUAUCAGUAGGCAGAAAAGACAUAGGGCUCCCAAAUAGGCAUUAGAUCCCAAAUACCUGCUGAGAGGUGUUUUAAUUCUUACUGUAGUCACUAUCCUAGUGGUGUAUGUCUGAAUGUUACCAGCUACGAUUUCCACAUUCUUUUCCGUGAUAAAGCCUGUAAAAAUAAACAAGACUGCGUCUUGGCUACUGCUAAAAGCUUUUUUUCUGUGUAAUUACCAUAUGUGGCAGGUAUCCCUUAUGAUUUAGCUCAAGGUGCCUGCAGUGCUUAGUGUUUGCUUCUGAAAGCUGUGUGCACUAUGAAAAUGUAAGUUAAUUCAAAAUUAAUUACUUACCAUAUAAAUUGAUUGAAGCUUGAUGUAAUUCUCUGGGAUCACACAUUACCUUUUGGCAAAAACCAAAGGAAAGGGCAAAUGAAACAUACAGCAAACUUGAUCUGCUUCCAAAUACAUCUGUCUUUAGCAAUGUUUAAAGUACAAGUUCUGUAUGUGUGCAAAUUCCUUUGGUAAUUGAUUAUUUUGUUCACAGAGAAUGUCUCUUUCUGUCAGCUUUUGCAUGAAAGUGCGAUCAGUAUUAAAGCAUCAGCUGGUUGACCAGCACCACAGUUCUCUAGCAUGUUUGUAUGUGGUAGCAAAAGGAGAGGGGUUCCUCCAGGUGCUCUCUCCAACUGAUGCUGCCUGUUGUCUGAUUGACCCAUAACUUUUUCCUCCCCUUUGAUUCUAUGCAAAUUACCUAAAGUCUUAUUUUCAUGAAUAAUACUUCUGAAGGAAUUAUUUCUCUUGUUUGAAAGUAGGUUAAUUUGUUUAGAGUCUUAUUUACGAUUGCGAAUCGUAAACACAGUUUAAAGUGGAUGGUUCAGGAGCUAAGAAAUAACUGGAUAUUGAUAUCUGGACUGUGAUGUUCAUUUUUUCUUGACUAUGGAAACAUAAACUCUAGUGCAGUUUUUGCAGUGAGGCUGUCCCCGUUUAGUUUGUUUGUUUGUUUUGUGUGUGUGUGUCAUGCCAGGUAGAUCUUGCUUUACUAGACAUGACAAAUUUCACCUGCUAGUUUUUAAACUUUGGUUCUGUCAAGCAGCUUGAGCUCUGCUCAAAAGCACAGAAGGAAGCAGGUUAUAAUAUGAAGGAAAUAAUAUGCAGGAAUUAUGUAAAGAACUUCUUGAAUGCCUCCGUCAUUCUUCUGACUUCAAGAACUUCAAAGGUAGUUUCUUGUGCGAAACACUUGGCUUGAUACCAGCCAUAACAAAUACAGAAUUGUGUUAGUAUGUUCACAUCAAACUUUUGCCAAGAUCUGUCAAAACACCAGGUUGGCCUUCUGUAUAGGCUUCAUAAUUGCUUUCGGGCACUUCCCUGGGUGUUUUCAGAUCAGCAUUAGCACGUGUUACAAAAAGUACAAUCCAGAACGUGCUUCACGUCCUGUUACUCAGCAUGAAGGGCACACAUGCUGCUGUCUGAGCAUUGUGGAUAUGGCAACACAGAUAGUUAAAGGUAGGCUGUCCUAGUGUCCUGGUGAGUAUUUUGUUAGUGUUGGCCAUGAGGUCUAUAUCAGGUAGUAUAAGAGAAGGAGAGAGAGAUGGUAAUUACUGAGUGAGAUGAACAUUGAGCUUGUAUAUUUCUCGGAAUUUAGUAGGAGAAUAGAAAAAGUAAUUUUCUGUAGCCAACAGUGAAGUAUCUGUAUUUCUGUGACCAGCGGAGAAGCAGAAAGCAACCGUAUAUGGUCUGAAAUUCUCUGAAGAAUGUGCAAUAAAUAGACAGCUGAGAAGAACACUCUACAGGGUCUCAUGAGCACGGCACUUCAAGAGGAAAAGAGAUCUACUUCCAACUUAAGGAACAGUUAGCACUACAGGGCUUGUUUAUUUAGCGUGGAGAAAAGACUAAGAGAAGUUCUUAAAAUAAUAAAUUCUCUCUGUGUAGAAUGGUGUAACAGUAAAAUUGUGGUCAUGAACUAGGGACAUUAGAUUGAGAAAUGGUACUUGUUCUGGUGUGGUUUGGUGGCUUUUUUGCUUUACUAUUGAAUGCUCUUGUGUGUGCUGACUCAGUUGCACGAGGCACUUGGAGGCCCAGCAGAAGCAUGUGCCAGCACCCAGCUUGGCUUGUGGAUCUAGAAAGGGGUGGAUGCCAUAUCAUAGACACUUUAUGAAAGCUAUUUGAAACCAUCUGCCUCAUGAAAGGUCAGUGGGCAUGAGAAGCAACACCACAGUGCAGGGGACUGAGGCAUGGUGCUGGCUCUGUUGAGCAGUUCCUCAGAACUCAGCUGUGGAACUGCAGAUUGCCAAUCUGCUCCCUUUUCAUGGCCAUGAAAAUCUGAGGCUUUGGAGGAUGAGCAAAGAGAAGGGAGAUGAAGCUCCUUUUACUUGCUUGUCUUGUGUGCUGUGUGUGGUCAUCGUGAACAGGCCAUCAUCCAUCCUUGGCUGUGUCCCUCUGAGGACAAUUCAGAUUUCUCUUCCUGUUGCUUUCUAGAAAUAGUACCCAAGAAGAUAAUAAUUGAUGAUGGGGAAUUGCCAUUAUCCUGGGCUUAAACCAGUCCUGCUGAAUUCCUGUUGCAUUAGUUGCAAUAGCUAAAAGAAUUUACCCCAUUGCAUCUGUUGUAGUAGUUGUGAGUGGGUGCUUUCAAAAUUUUCCCUGUGUAUUUCUUUUCCUUUUUUAAUUAUUUAGACAAAAAUAGUCAGUGUUGUUUCAGUAAGAAUGUCUGCCAG